Molecule: ribosomal RNA, 492 nt
Filed under: uncultured bacterium
Lineage: Bacteria
Description: partial 16S ribosomal RNA
Rfam family: Bacterial small subunit ribosomal RNA
Source: RNAcentral
AGUGAACGCUGGCGGUAGGCCUAACACAUGCAAGUCGAACGGCAGCACAGUAAGAGCUUGCUCUUACGGGUGGCGAGUGGCGGACGGGUGAGGAAUACAUCGGAAUCUACUUUUUCGUGGGGGAUAACGUAGGGAAACUUACGCUAAUACCGCAUACGACCUACGGGUGAAAGCAGGGGAUCUUCGGACCUUGCGCGAUUGAAUGAGCCGAUGUCGGAUUAGCUAGUUGGAGGGGUAAAGGCCCACCAAGGCGACGAUCCGUAGCUGGUCUGAGAGGAUGAUCAGCCACACUGGAACUGAGACACGGUCCAGACUCCUACGGGAGGCAGCGGUGGGGAAUAUUGGACAAUGGGCGCAAGCCUGAUCCAGCCAUACCGCGUGGGUGAAGAAGGCCUUCGGGUUGUAAAGCCCUUUUGUUGGGAAAGAAAAGCAGCAGGUUAAUACCCCGCUGUUCUGACGGUACCCAAAGAAUAAGCACCGGCUAACUUCGUG